Leptopilina boulardi is the source of this 594-nucleotide long non-coding RNA. RefSeq lists it as uncharacterized. The transcript has 4 exons. The record is from RefSeq and is a predicted model, not a curated record. NCBI's taxonomy places the organism in Eukaryota, Metazoa, Arthropoda, Insecta, Hymenoptera, Figitidae.
CAAAAGGAAUUAUUUUUUUCUAUUAAGUAUCAUUACUAUACUAUUAGUUAUGUAAAGGCGCUCGAAGAUUUUUACUCUCCUUUUCUAUUUUUUUCAAUUGGAUGUAAUGUUUUGACAAUAAGUUUUACAUUACUUCAGAUAGCAAUUUCAUUGGAUGACGCAUUAUUUAUUGUGAAACAAAUAUUCAUUGUAAAUGCAGUUUUGGUUCAUGCAUAUUAUCUUGGAAUGCCUGCUCAAAAUUUAAUAAAUCAAAGUACUGCUAUUUCAUUUGAUAUUUACGACAGUGAAUGGUAUAAAUUGCCAAUUAAAAUUCAAAAAUUACUACCAUUUAUAAUUGUAAAAAGUCAAAUACCAUCUUACUUGACUGCUGGAAAAAUUGCAAUAAUGAAUUUGGAAACUGUAACAAACGUAAGAAUAUAUAUAAAUAAGAUACCAAAAAAAUAUCAUUUUAGAAAAAUAAAAAAUGAUUUUUUUAUUAAAUCUUGUUAUUUUUAUAUGUGAAGAUUAUAAAAAUGUCAUUCUCCUACUUUACAAUGCUAUUGUCAGUCCGUCAAUUAUCAUAAAUGAGAUGAAAGCAAAAAAAAAAAAAAAAAA